RNAcentral lists this unclassified non-coding RNA (1235 nucleotides) under Hevea brasiliensis (rubber tree). The record is from RNAcentral. Lineage: Eukaryota; Viridiplantae; Streptophyta; Magnoliopsida; Malpighiales; Euphorbiaceae.
UUUUUUUUUUUUUUUUUUUGCUAGUAUGUUCGCUACCACCCUCAAAUUGUCACUUUAAAAAGAUUAUGCUUUUAUAAUAAUCGUCAAUCUCAUUUGAAGACGUCAAAUCAAGUUUAUUGUCCCAAGAAAAGUUUGAUUUUGAACCUCAUUCAUAGGGACAAGUAGAGGGUUUAAUGGUUAGAGCGUGAAGUCAAUGAAAGUAACGGUAACAAGUCAAAAUGUAUAUCUAAGUCAAGAAGCUAUAACUACAAAUUUUUCAUUAUUAUAAAAAGAAAGGGCAUGAAAUUUCUUACUAUUGGAAAUUGAGAAUAAGCAACAUAAAAAUGAUAAAAGGGAGAAAUAGUCUAAUAAAUCUACCAAAGCUAGUAUUGUUGGUGAGUUCCAUUAGUGAUUGAUGCUAAUUCUAAAAUUGAAUAAAUUCUUGAUUAUGGUUGUAUCCAUCACAUGUGGCCUCAUAAGGAUUGGUUCACCACUUAUGAAUAUAUUGAUUGUGGUGUUGUUUUGAUGGGUAAUAAUACAUCUUGUCAGUCCAUUGGUCAAGGCACAAUUCGAAUUAAAAUGUAAGAUGAUAUGAUCAAAACCUUGAUUGAUGUCAAACAAAUUCCUGAUUUGCAAAGGAAUGUCAUCUCUUUAGGCACCUUUGAGUCUCAUGGAUGCAAAUACACUAUUGAAGGUAGAGUUCUAUUAGUCUAUUGGGGCAUUGUCUACUACUGAAGCAGAUUAUGUUGCAGUUACAAAGGGUGUUUGAAAGAGGCUAAUAACUUAGAGGUUUGGUUAUUGAUCUUUGUUUACAGCAAGAUGCUACUGUUGCAUAUUUGUGAUAGUCAAAGUGGCAUUCAUUUGACCAAGAAUCAUAUGCAUCAUGAGAAAACUAAGCACAUAAAUGUGAAGCACCACACUAUCAGAGAUAUCAUAUCUAGAGAAAAAUUUGUAGUUAAGAAAAUUUCAACAACUAAUAAUCCUACAAAUAUGUUGAUGAAACCUCUCCCAACAGUCAAAUUUAAAAAUUGCUUAAACUUGAUUGGUGUCUACAGUACUUGAGUAAAGUUUCGAUGAAGACAAUCAGAGAAUGCUUCACGUGUGGAAAAUUCAAGCUAAGGUGGAAACUUGAUAGAUAUGGUUUAUCUUGUCCAUCUCAAUUCCCAUCAACAAGCCACGUCAAGAUUACAACAUCAUCUUGAAUGAUGAUAAUUAUCUUUUCUUAAUAUAGACCAAGUUAUCCUAAUCUUGAUGAU